Long non-coding RNA from Artibeus jamaicensis (Jamaican fruit-eating bat), 1386 nucleotides. RefSeq lists it as uncharacterized. NCBI's taxonomy places the organism in Eukaryota, Metazoa, Chordata, Mammalia, Chiroptera, Phyllostomidae. The transcript has 3 exons. The record is from RefSeq and is a predicted model, not a curated record.
CCCAGGCCUGCUCCAGUUUGCAGGGGGUGGAGGAGCUGUUUUGCAGCUGGUGCUGGGAGGAUGGAGUGUCUGCAGGGUUAGACCCUGUGGGGAGCACUGCAGUCUCUGAAGAAUAAGACCCUAGUGACCGAGAAUCCCAGCCAUGAAUACAGCCAGCACUUUCUCCUUGGUACCUUCUUGAACCUGGUGCAUGAGAACUCGACUUUUUCUAACAUGGGAGUUGUACCUUAUCUUGUCUCCUCUUCUAAAAAUGUAAGCUUCAAGACAGAAAACUGUACUUGAACAAUAACUUUUUUAAAAAGCAAAAAAAUUUUAAACGUAAGCUUCAUAAGGGCAUGGACUCUUGUCUGUUUUAUGCACUGCUGAUUUACCCGGCCCUUGGAACAAUGGCUGAAAUACAGUGAGUGCUUAACAAGCAGCUGUUGAAGGACUGUGCAGCCCUGCCCGAGACGCGGAGGAUCACAGGACAUUUCAGCACCAGGCACCUGGACAGUUCCCGGCCUGCGCCGCCUUUCCGCGGAGACCACCUCAGGAUGACUGGAAAGGUGGGCUUGAAAGUGUGGCCGUCACCCUCAGGCUUGGAGCCUCCGAGCCCCAGCGGUGAAGUCGGUGACCUCCUCUGGGUCUCAAGUCCUGCCAUUGACUGCAAACUCACCCUGCACUUAGUAUUACCUUUUCCUUUUUUGAGUUCAGCAAUUAUUUUCUGUAUCUAUAAAGCACUGAGCGUCUCUUUUUCUCUUUGUCUCUCUUCCCCGUUCAUGUUCAUCAUGCCCCGAAUUCUCUGUCUCCCCCUUCUUUGCCCCUCCUUUCUCCACCUCUUUCCCUUUCCCCCGCUUUCCUAGCACAUCCCUCCUUCUUUCCCCUCCAAUUUCUCUGUCCUUCUUAUCCUUUCCUACCCUUCCCUCUGUUCUCUCCUCCUUAGAAGUAUCCUAUUUUUGCAGGACUUAAAUCUGACUUAUAGUAAAGGGGAGGCAGCAUCCCUCCCCCACUUCAUUUAGGAAGCAAACAGCAAAAACUGAACUACGUGCAGUUUUGCAUGAGCUUGCCCUGCGUGUGUCCUAGCCACAGUCUCAUCCACCAGGGGACCAGCCCAUAGCUGAUGAAAGCCUGCUCGCCCUCCUGCCCACUGUCUGCUGCCCUGGGAGGGCACCUGACAGGCAGCUGAAUCCCGUCACAGAGGUCAGGAGCUGAUGGGUGGGUUUACAGAUCUGCCCCGUCUCCCCUACUUUAGAUUCCUCUGUGGGCAGUUGUGGAUGAAUGAUUCUCCAGCUGUGGUUCCUGAGACCGGAAGUUAGAUGGUUCAUUGGUUUUUCCUGCUGGACCAGUUCUAGCAGCUGGGUGAGGCUUGCUACGUUACACGUACUCUAAUGCUGUCAUGUGGUUACU